UACGAAGGUCCCAAGCGUUAUCCGGAUUUAUUGGGUUUAAAGGGUGCGUAGGCGGUCUAUUAAGUCAGUGGUGAAAGCCCCAAGCUCAACUUGGGAACUGCCAUUGAUACUGAUGGACUUGAGUACAUUUGAGGUGGGCGGAAUGUGUCAUGUAGCGGUGAAAUGCUUAGAUAUGACACAGAACACCGAUUGCGAAGGCAGCUCACUAAACUGUAAACUGGACGCUGAGGCACGAAAGCGUGGGGAGCAAACAGG
This 255-nucleotide ribosomal RNA is filed under the name uncultured bacterium. Its description in RNAcentral is "partial 16S ribosomal RNA". It matches the Rfam family "Bacterial small subunit ribosomal RNA", at positions 524 to 776 of the family's 1533-position model. The record is from RNAcentral.